Molecule: ribosomal RNA, 301 nt
Filed under: uncultured bacterium
Lineage: Bacteria
Description: partial 16S ribosomal RNA
Rfam family: Bacterial small subunit ribosomal RNA
Source: RNAcentral
CAGCAGCCGCGGGAAUACGUAGGGUGCAAGCGUUAAUCGGAAUUACUGGGCGUAAAGCGUGCGCAGGCGGUUAUAUAAGUCAGAUGUGAAAUCCCCGGGCUCAACCUGGGAACUGCAUUUGAGACUGUAUGGCUAGAGUGUGUCAGAGGGGGGUAGAAUUCCACGUGUAGCAGUGAAAUGCGUAGAUAUGUGGAGGAAUACCGAUGGCGAAGGCAGCCCCCUGGGAUAACACUGAUGCUCAUGCACGAAAGCGAGGGGAGCAAACAGGAUUAGAUACCCCCGUAGUCCCUGUCUCUUAUAC